CGUGACGUGCGCUGCGCCGCUGCAACCGGGCCUGUAUGCGUAGCAAUCAGACCACGGCCUACCUCCUGCCGAGCCAUGGACUGGCAGGAGUGCACAUAAACCUGAUCUUUCACGGUGGACUCUGAAGUACGAGGUCCUUGGGUGGGAUGUAGAAUUUUCUUGGCUUGCACGUAACAUGACAAAAACCAAUUGGCAAUGUCUCCAAGGUCUUCCUAAUAGAGGUGUUGCCCGGUUUUCCCCAAAAACUCAUCCUCUUGUAGAGUACAACAACAGUGGCAUAUGAAGUUCCUGAAAUUUUGGCACCAGUUGCAUCAGUACUGAAACUAUUUCUGGAAAGCUUGCUUCUCAAAGGUUUAGAACGCUUUGCCACAUUUGCCAAGGAGCAUAACCGCAAGAUACCUCAGGCUUAACAACAUCAUUACUCUUUUGUGUUCACCCUCUGUCAUGGAGCGUGCUUUGCUCUGCUGAGCACUCGUGGGUAAGGAAACAAAAUAGAAACUUUUUCCAGGGUUCCCAAUGAAAAUCUCAUGACUUAACACGGUUUAGUUGGAGAAAAUACAG
Molecule: long non-coding RNA, 561 nt
Organism: Sorghum bicolor (sorghum)
Lineage: Eukaryota; Viridiplantae; Streptophyta; Magnoliopsida; Poales; Poaceae
Exons: 6
Source: RefSeq, a predicted model, not a curated record